RNAcentral lists this small nucleolar RNA (83 nucleotides) under Castor canadensis (American beaver). RNAcentral describes it as "Small nucleolar RNA SNORD79 (ENSCCNG00000020061.1)". It matches the Rfam family "Small nucleolar RNA SNORD79". Rfam says of the family: snoRNA U79 or Z22 is found in intron 7 of the gas5 gene in humans and is also present in mice. U79 is a member of the C/D class of snoRNA which contain C (UGAUGA) and D (CUGA) box motifs. Lineage: Eukaryota; Metazoa; Chordata; Mammalia; Rodentia; Castoridae. The record is from Rfam by way of RNAcentral.
UGCUGUUGGUGAUGACUUUUAAAAUAAAACAGAUGGGAAUCUCUCUGAAAAAAUGUGAAGAUUAAUUUUGAACUGAAACAGUA